UGGGGAAUAUUGCACAAUGGAGGGAACUCUGAUGCAGCGACGCCGCGUGAACGAAGAAGGCUUUCGAGUCGUAAAGUUCUUUUAUAUGGGAAGAUAAUGACGGUACCAUAAGAAAAAGCGCCGGCUAACUACGUGCCAGCAGCCGCGGUAAUACGUAGGGGGCUAGCGUUGUCCGGAAUCACUGGGCGUAAAGGGUUCGCAGGCGGAAAUGCAAGUCAGGUGUAAAAGGCAGUAGCUUAACUACUGUAAGCAUUUGAAACUGCAUAUCUUGAGAAGAGUAGAGGUAAGUGGAAUUUUUAGUGUAGCGGUGAAAUGCGUAGAUAUUAAAAAGAAUACCGGUGGCGAAGGCGACUUACUGGGCUCAUUCUGACGCUGAGGAACGAAAGCGUGGGUAGCAAACAGG
Molecule: ribosomal RNA, 403 nt
Filed under: bacterium
Lineage: Bacteria
Also listed under: 1 other name
Description: partial 16S ribosomal RNA
Rfam family: Bacterial small subunit ribosomal RNA
Source: RNAcentral